CUCUUCCGAUGUGGCUAUUUUUAGAAAAGAAUGUACAUUUUGAGGUAUAUCUAAUUGAAGUUUCUUGGAUGCAGCCUUAUUAGAUUACAGCUCACUUAAUGCAGCAUUCCAACAUGAAAAGGUUCCCCACCACUGGU
Molecule: long non-coding RNA, 137 nt
Organism: Amblyraja radiata (thorny skate)
Lineage: Eukaryota; Metazoa; Chordata; Chondrichthyes; Rajiformes; Rajidae
Exons: 3
Source: RefSeq, a predicted model, not a curated record